This 1740-nucleotide long non-coding RNA is filed under the name Daphnia magna. RNAcentral describes it as "uncharacterized LOC116921437, transcript variant X1". Lineage: Eukaryota; Metazoa; Arthropoda; Branchiopoda; Diplostraca; Daphniidae. The record is from RNAcentral.
GUGAGACACGCUGCCAUCUGGAUUCUGUGGGGCAAUAGCAAUUAGCAACUGACCACUGACGCCACUAGAAUUUCUUCCAACGGCCUAAAUUGCUAUUACCCCCCAGAAUUCUGGGGGGCAAUAGAUUUUACCAAUAGGUGUGACCUAGGCCAUAGAAUUGCGACGUAGAAGAAGAGAAUCAAUUAGAUUGUUUAAUGGCGUAGGUUUUCGUAGUUUUCGACGCGAUGUGUGUUAAUUGGUGGAGAAACAUUGUCGUAAUCGGAUAUCGGAACGGAUUUCCAUAAUGUACACGUGUUGUAACCGACCAGCACAAAAUUGAUACAUUUUUUUUCAUUUAUCACAAAUUGUUAUCAGCAGCAUUUCCACUCUAUAGCAGCAGAAGCCAAGCUGUUCAGUCAACGGAAGACCAUUGUAAUUGCAGUUAAUGAGAUACAACAACUUUGUUGCCAAUAACAACAUGCUGCAUUUAUUUUUGUCCACAGCCAAAAUAAAUUGCAACUUCUUUCACAGGAGUAACACAUUGUGUGGUUUAAGUUGUUAGCUACCAUAGUCUCCUGAUAGUUUGAGUCUGACAAUAAGCAAUACCAUAUUGUUAUUUGUUUCUUCCCUUUGCAGAGAUGUUAGCUUGUUGUGAUUUUAGACCACGGUAUAGACUGAGCCUUUGUAUCUGUGUCAAACCAGUUACAUCAACUCACUUGUUGUUGACACCCCUGGAGAUAUUACCAAACUUUCGAAAUGGUUGAAGCAGGCACCCAUAAUAUGUCGAUUCAAUUUCAGUGCUAUCACUAAUUGAUGGACUGAAUAAUGUCAGAUUGCCAAAAAAAACAAACACUGGAACCCUUCUGCAUGACUUUGAACCACAAGAUAUUGAUCUUUUUUACAUUCGCCUUUGGGUUGAACGGUAAAGAGUUUCACGGUUCACUGUUUUAUCCGAAAAUCGUAUAUCCACGAAAUGUUGGCAUCAUUGGUCUAUGAACAGAUAUGCUGAUGACUGAAAUCAAUUGUAUCAGCUGAAAACAUAUGUUGAGACAUCUAUGCAACUUUGUACUUGGAUAUGUGUCAUUCCACUGGUAGUGGCUAAAGAAUCAAACUUGGAAUCGCGUGUCUUCAACCAACUCACCUCAUCUAGGCCUGACCAGUAUCGGACCGAAGAAAGUAGUCAACUAGUCACACGUCAGAUAACAAAUCCUGCUAAGUAAACCAUAUGAUAAGGAAGUGAACUCAAUCAUUCGAACGUGAGUCUAAUGGUCUAAUGAAAAAUAAGGAUUCAUUUGGUUACCGACUUGACCUGCAAGAGGAUUUUAGCCAUAUCGGAUAUCGGAAAGGAACACCUUUACCGAACAUAAUGUUCUUCUAACGUAAAUUAUUGGAUGCUCAUUCUAUGUCGGAUUCAGAUUUCAUUUAGAAAUCCUGGUAGAAGCUUUUAAUUUAUAAGACCAUAGAAGGAUUGCACACACUAAUGUUUUAAAGUUAAUAAACGUUAUAAAUGGAAAAUGGGGUUUCAGAAUGAGGCGAGAGUUUUUGUCAAUGCUGAAGUUUGGAAACACGAUCGGAAAUACCCAUGAAAUGAAAAACAUUCUCUCACGUUAUGGUAUUUGUCGUACAUAAAUUAAAGUGCAUAUCUGGGCUCCCUUCUUUUCUGUGGCCCCGUUUCCCCUUGACUCGUAAUAAGCCCGUAGGGGGUCACGCCCCUACUGUACGGUAUAUAUAAAAACAACAUAUAUCGAGGUUUGGAGGGCU